This is a small nucleolar RNA of Nothoprocta perdicaria, 69 nucleotides long. Its record names the gene SNORD82. It matches the Rfam family "Small nucleolar RNA SNORD82". Rfam says of the family: snoRNA U82 or Z25 is found in both humans and mice. Lineage: Eukaryota; Metazoa; Chordata; Aves; Tinamiformes; Tinamidae. The record is from Ensembl.
AGCACAAAUGAUGAUUUUAGGGGACUUAAUACUGAAACAUGAUGUAACUCUAAGCAGAAACUGAUGUGC